Molecule: long non-coding RNA, 921 nt
Organism: Onychostoma macrolepis
Lineage: Eukaryota; Metazoa; Chordata; Actinopteri; Cypriniformes; Cyprinidae
Exons: 5
Source: RefSeq, a predicted model, not a curated record
UAUUUUAAAGAAAAAUUUGCUUAAUUCAUGAUUUCUAACAUUGUUUUUCUAGAAAUCACGUUUGCUUUAUCUCUUUCAAUAUUAAUUAAAUAGCCUUCAUAACUAAAGAUAAUACAAUAAAUACAUAAAUCUGUUUCAUAUUAAGCAUAGAUCAAUCCUUUUAAAGAAAUUAAUUUUACUCGAGACAAAAUAUUAUCCGGUGUUUUUCAAAAACCGCGCGCAUUUUUCAGUCAGUCACAUCCGCCCCUCCCCCACAGCUCACAGUCACUGGAUCACAGCCGGACGGCUCGCGACGCCGUCACGGAAAAUAACAGCUGGACACAGACAAACGAGUCCCGCGAAUUGUAUUUUUAAACUGGAGAGACAGCUGACAGGAUGUCGUCAUCUGUAACCGUCACUCGCCACAGUUCUCAAGAGAGAAAGGCAGCGAGGGGUGGUGUGAUGUCAUUUGCAACAAGACGGCUGAUACUAAUAUGAGCCUAAAAUAAAGGACAAUAAUGGCAUCAGCCAUUCAAGUUAUGAUCCUGGCAGAUCUACUACUAUCUGAAAAGUAGUCUCUGCAGAUUGUUUCAAGAUACACAAGAUGGAGCGUGGAGAGACGGGACAUGGACCACAGUUUUUCAGCACCCACACCCCACACUCAAAUUCAUAUAGAAGUUCUCAAUUAUUAAAUGUUAAUUUCAUAGUUUAUAUUUAGCUGUGAAGUUAUAGUUCAUUGUCAUAAAUAUUAAACUACAUAUUAUUAUUAUUAUUAUUAUUAUUUUACAUGAUAUGCAAAUUUCACCAAUUUGUUUAAUGUGUUAAUUAACUUUUUGAAAUUGAUUAUCUUUAAUAAUUCAGAUACCUGUUGAAAUGCACAUGUAAUUAUAUACUUGCUCGUAUCUGGAAGGUUGUGUUAAUAAAAAUGAUGUUGAAAGCGAA